UACGUAGGGGCCGAGCGUUGUCCGGAUUUACUGGGCGUAAAGCGCGCGCAGGCGGCCACUUAAGCCCGGCGUGAAAGCCCCCGGCUCAACCGGGGAGGGUCGUCGGGGACUGGGUGGCUUGAGGACGGCAGGGGCUGGUGGAAUCCCCGGUGUAGUGGUGAAAUGCGUAGAGAUCGGGGGGAACACCCGUGGCGAAGGCGGCCAGCUGGGCCGGUCCUGACGCUGAGGCGCGAAGGCGUGGGGAGCGAACGGG
This 253-nucleotide ribosomal RNA is filed under the name uncultured bacterium. RNAcentral describes it as "partial 16S ribosomal RNA". It matches the Rfam family "Bacterial small subunit ribosomal RNA", at positions 524 to 776 of the family's 1533-position model. The record is from RNAcentral.